GACGAACGCUGGCGGCAUGCCUAAUACAUGCAAGUCGAGCGAACAGAUGAAGUGCUUGCACUUCUGACGUUAGCGGCGAACGGGUGAGUAACACGUAAGGAAUCUACCUAUAAGCGGGGGAUAACAUUCGGAAACGGGUGCUAAUACCGCAUAAUAUCUUCUUCCGCAUGGAAGAAGAUUGAAAGACGGCUCUGCUGUCACUUAUAGAUGACCUUGCGGUGCAUUAGUUAGUUGGUGGGGUAAUGGCCUACCAAGACGAUGAUGCAUAGCCGAACGGAGAGGGUGAUCGGCCACAUUGGGACUGAGACACGGCCCCAAGUACUACGGGAGGCAGCAGUAGGGAAUCUUCCGCAAUGGGCGGAAGCCUGACGGAGCAAUGCCGCGUGAGUGAAGAAGGCCUUCGGGUCGUAAAACUCUGUUAUAAGAGAAGAACAAAUUGUAGAGUAACUGCUACAGUCUUGACGGUAUCUUAUCAGAAAGCCACGGCUAACUACGUGCCAGCCGCCGCAGUAA
This 513-nucleotide ribosomal RNA is filed under the name uncultured bacterium. RNAcentral describes it as "partial 16S ribosomal RNA". It matches the Rfam family "Bacterial small subunit ribosomal RNA", at positions 28 to 523 of the family's 1533-position model. The record is from RNAcentral.